RNAcentral lists this small RNA (76 nucleotides) under Parvimonas sp. oral taxon 393 str. F0440. Its description in RNAcentral is "dfrA-dnaX RNA". It matches the Rfam family "dfrA-dnaX RNA". The record is from Rfam by way of RNAcentral. Lineage: Bacteria; Bacillati; Bacillota; Tissierellia; Tissierellales; Peptoniphilaceae.
ACGCCAAAUGGUAAAGAUAAAGUAAUUUCACCAUAAUAACAAUAGUUAAGGUAUAAAAAAGAAAUUAAGGUAUAAU